AUUUGCAUUUUGACAGACAAUUGAAGAUAAUCUUUAGACCCACUGGGAAUAUUGUCUUAAUGUUUUACUAUUUAUACAUCACAGUUCAAAAGAUUGUUUACUUUGUCCCCCAAAUUAUCACUCAGUGAUUAACUCAAGAAACACAGUAAUAAAAAUGGAAACUAAGAUGAAGUCAAAAUCACACUUAAAAUAGAAUUAAAUCCUUAUCGGGGAGGAUUAACCAUCACAAAAAUUGACUGUGAUUAAAACAUAGCAGGAACCUGAGGUUAUGCUGGUCAUUUUUCAAAAGAACUCGGUGAUUCAUCAGAUGCCAGCUGGAUCAAUGGCCAUCUUCCCAUUCCCAGAGACAUACCCAGGAGAGGCAGAUGGGAUCAUGGAGAGAGGGAUUCACCAAGGCAAUCAAAUUUCCUGUGGCCCCAACACUACUCAAAAGGAGCACUCCAAGAAGCAACUUGGUUUCUGUUCUCCCACCUGAUAGGGGGGGCACUGCCUGCUGCUGUCUAGUCACAGUGCCUUGCUUUGUAAGAAUUCCAGGACCUGGGCUUCCUCUUUUCUUUUGCCACAUGAUUCUGCAAAUCAUUUAAUCAGUUUCAGAUUAUGACAACUGACCUGAUGACUGUGAAUAUAUUCUCAGUUCUGCCAAAACUCAUCUGUACAUGGCCUCAGCUAUAUUGAAACCUCAUGCUAUAUUUUGAAAUUUCAAAAAACUGCCUUAGCCAUUUGGACCUUCUGUUUUUCCUAGUUAUUUUGAUAACAGAAAACCAAAGGCUAGCAAUGGUUGCCGGAGAAACUAUAUUGAAAUGUGAGCAAGUAUUAAAAAUAUAUGAAACUGUUAUGAAAAACAGGUCUUGUCCAUCAUCACAAAAAGAAGCGAGUCGUAUACUGGUGGUGGUGACUGCCCAAACUGGCUUGACCAUCUCACUCCAGUUUGGGCCUCUCAUGGCUUUGGUAGCCUAAACACAAUCCCACUUUUAUAUUUUCCCUUCAUUUUACAUCUCAUUAAUACUCAAAGUACCCUCCCCAGUUCAGUCCUUUGUAGCCUGAGGUCUAAAUGUGGUAGAGAAUAAGUUAAACAUUUCGUGGAAAGACCAAAUACACAUUUUUUAAUAAAUAAGUUUCAUUGUGCUGCUGUGUCACAAAGCAAAACUUAUCAAGUAACCAUGGAAAAAAGUAAUGUUGAAGGUAAUACAAGAUAUUUUUCAUUAUAGCAAAACAUGCCUGUGUAUGGCAGAUUUUCCUUGAGCGAGUGGUCUUUCCCAUAUUAGUAACACUAAACUUUAUACAUGAUUAUAUUUCAACUUUACUUUGAUCUAAAGAAAACCAGAGUCAAAUUUAGUCUUUUCCCACACUUUCCCACUUCAUUAGUGCCAUUCAUUUGCAUCCUUGUGAGCAAAACUCUAAUAUUUUUUCUACUCUUAUUUUCUUUUACUCCAUUUUUUUCAUCUAUUCAUUGUUAUUUUGUUAAACUGUAUGUAUUUUUAUGAGAUACCUCAAAACAUAAUGAAGCUAAAAGAAAGUGUAAGUAAGAAGCAGGCAAUAAAGAAAGAUAGAAAAGGAGAUAGAAGAGGAAAUGUUAUCUAUAAUGUGGAUGAGCCAUGAGGAAAACUCAAGAUGGUGGCAUUGCUGCUUAGAAAGCAACUCCUGGCCAGCUGAAACAGACUCUCUUACCAUGUCCUGUGAUUGGUCUUUUUUCACUAAGAUAAUGGGAGAUAGGAGUAUACUUUCUGAGGUUCUUAAGUUAAGAAUACUUUGAUACUUUCAGUUUUUACGAAUAACCUAAGAGUUGCCUACUAAUAAAAGCAUUAGUGGUUAAGAAAAUUUGAAUUAAUUUAUUACUCAAGUCAAAGUGUGGAUCAAAGCUAUGUUGAAUAUCACAGGGGUGGAGAGUUCCACAGGAGGUGGGCAGGGUAAGAGCAGGAAAUGAGGUUGAGAAUCUGAGUUUCAGAUCGAGGCAGACUUGGAUUUGAAUCCUUCCUCAUGGUAUCACCUUCUGUACUUAUUGCCCGAGCCUCAAUGUCCCUUAUCUAUAAAACAAGAUUAACAUAGCAUCUCCCUCUUCAUGUCCUUUAGAAAUUUAACUUGAGACGAAGGCAUUAGAGAACUUAGUAUAGAAUGUUUUCUAUUCACUUUAUUUGAUUUUUAAUUGUGACAGUUUCUUCCCCAAAAAACUUGAGAUUUAUAGAGCAGUUAAGUCAUGCAUACAAGAGUAUAGUUGAGGGUAUAUGUAACAAAUGCCUUGAAGGUGACAUAUGCAAAGUGUUAUGGGGUAAAGGGAACAGAGAGAAAAAUGAUCAAAGUCAGAGACCCAGCUGUGGGGUCAGCAUGAAAAAAAAGCCUCUAGUGAUUUAAAUGAAAGGCUACCUAAUGUGUUCGAGAACAUAUAGUAAAGCUACAUCACGACUCAGGUGGAAGGACAAAUUGGAAUAGACUGUACAAUUUCAAAGUAAAAUGAAAAUGCUAUCGAGAAGAAACUAAUAAUGAGAACACUGCUUUUGCAAAGAAAUCAUUCUGUGAAAAGUAAUACGCUCUUUAUGUUGGCACCAAUUAGGAUAUGAUGCUACAUUAUGUCUCUUCGCAUAACAACAGAAUAUACUGUAGAAUUAAUAUGUGCCAGAAGUCUUUUAGAUACCUAAGAAUCAUGCAAGGUAAGGAUUCUCCCCAUUUUCCAGAGCAAAAGGUGAAGUUUAAUAUGCUUAAAUACUUUGAUUAAAGUCACUUAGCAAAUGAUGGCACAGAGAUGCUUCCUGGCUACAAAGUCCACGUUCCAAAGCCUGUGCCCCUCUCACUAUCAUCCUUUGCAGAAUCUUUUUUGAUGCCUGGGUCAAAAAUGUGGCUUGAUUGUUUACAUGGAGAGUGGGCCCCCUCAUAUAGGAUUUUACAUUAAUUCUCUGAAAAAAAGGCAUAAUGGGAAUUCAAAUAAAUAAGGAUACAGGCUUUAUUUUCCAGAAGAACCAAGUGACACCAACACCAGCAGCGUCUUAUACAAAGAGUGGCUGCCCUCACACUCAUGGAGUAACAACAAACUCAGGAUUUUCUGUUCUUCUAGUGAUUACAGAUCUUGACAGU
This 3066-nucleotide long non-coding RNA is filed under the name Canis lupus familiaris (dog). RNAcentral describes it as "lncRNA (ENSCAFG00000055500.1, ENSCAFG00845015028.1)". Lineage: Eukaryota; Metazoa; Chordata; Mammalia; Carnivora; Canidae. The record is from RNAcentral.